Molecule: unclassified non-coding RNA, 348 nt
Filed under: soil metagenome
Description: partial contains 5.8S ribosomal RNA, internal transcribed spacer 2, and large subunit ribosomal RNA
Rfam family: 5.8S ribosomal RNA (bases 1-120)
Source: RNAcentral
GAUGAAGAACGUAGCAAAAUGCGAUAAGUAAUGUGAAUUGCAGAAUUCAGUGAAUCAUCGAAUCUUUGAACGCACAUUGCGCCCGCUGGUAUUCCGGCGGGCAUGCCUGUUCGAGCGUCAUUUCAACCCUCAAGCCCCCGGGUUUGGUGUUGGGGAUCGGCUCUGCCCUUCUGGGCGGUGCCGCCCCCGAAAUACAUUGGCGGUCUCGCUGCAGCCUCCAUUGCGUAGUAGCUAACACCUCGCAACUGGAACGCGGCGCGGCCAUGCCGUAAAACCCCAACCUCUGAAUGUUGACCUCGGAUCAGGUAGGAAUACCCGCUGAACUUAAGCAUAUCAAUAAGCGGAGGA